GCCUUCGUGGUGUAACGGUAGCACACUCGUCGUUUAAUCGAGAGGUUCAGGUUCGAGUCCCGGCGAGGGCA
Stegodyphus dumicola is the source of this 71-nucleotide non-coding RNA. The record is from the annotation of a RefSeq genome assembly. NCBI's taxonomy places the organism in Eukaryota, Metazoa, Arthropoda, Arachnida, Araneae, Eresidae.